UUGGAAUUCCAUAAAAUAGCUUAACAGCUGUUUCGCGUUGUGCGAAAGUGUCGCCAGCGUUAGGGCGCACAAGGCACCCGAAAAAGAAUAGCCGCAGCCAUCUGCCCCUGAUUUGAUUAAAUAUUUGCUGGCAUGAGCUAUACUACAAAAGGUCACCAUAUAGCGUAGAGGAUUUGACAAGUGGAUUACAAAUACAACAUAUGUACAUAUAUACAUAUAUAUAUCUGGAUCGUGGAAGGAAUACUUCUAAGCCUCUACAAAGAUGCAUUUAAUCUUGCGUGAAAUUCCGAACAAAUUUUUAAAAUCUCAAUCACUCCAGCAACCACCGCACGCGCUUCAGCGAAGCUGUUGCGUUGCUAGCCGCUAACAGCAGAACAAACUGCAAUUCUCUCGCAGAUAGAAUGUUCAGACCAAUCAAGAAUUUCAUCAACUAUAUACAGAAUAAUGCAAGCGGCAGCUCAAUUUUUGGUAAUACUACAACAGGAGCUGACAACGAAACAGAACGUGGCGCUGAAGAAAUCGGCAUCGAAGCAACAAAAGUAAUUUGCAAACAAAGUGAAGUAACAAGAGGUGAAAGCGAGAAGAUUUACGCUAAAGAAAGCAGUAUUUCCAAAGUUAUAAUUAAUCCAAGAGAGCAUAAAGAAAUGAAGCGUAUACAAGUGAAUAAGGUGAAUUGUGUAAAUGGAAAUAGCGACCCGGGGCAAGUGGUUAACGCUAAAGAACUGAAUGGCGUUGGCGGGGACGUUGCCGUAUACGCUGGCGAUGACACCGACGUUGAUAUUGAAUUGCAAAUUAAAAGCAGUGUUAUGCUGCGGGCACCAAUAAAACGUGUAUCUUUGGUGGAAAACCUAACAGACGAAGUGGAUGCAGAUGACGUCGAGAGUUUGGAGCUAAUCCAGGACUCAAUAUGCGAUCAUAGUGAUGGCAUUGAAGUUGAUUCACAAGAUGAAUAUGAUGACUAUCCACGCGAAGGUGCUGAAGCAAUUUCAGUGCUAAGUGAUGAUGGCACUGCUGGUGGUGGAGAAGAUACUGCUGAGGAUUACUUUGUCACGGAGGAGGAAGAUGCUGAAGAAACAUUUUUGAAUUUGCCAAGUUAUCAGGAGCACCGAUUCGAAGACAGUGAAAUCAUCGUACUCAACGAUGUCGAUGUGAACUCCUCCAUUGCUUCCGAUGCGCCCUCCGACGAUCCUCUAGCCAUCGACGACUUUACACAGCCGUCGAUUUCGGCCAUUAAGGAUAGUUCAAAUCCAUUAGAUUCCUCCACCAAUGAUGAGGCUUCAACUAGCGCCGAUUUACUAUGGAUCAAUAUCGAUGAAUUAAAGACAAAUACUACAACGCCAAAUGCAGAAAAAGACUUACAAACCGAGCCGCAAUUAAUACAUACGCCUACAAGCACGCCACAGCGGCAGCUUACGGCUAAUGUAGUCAAAGAGAAGCGCAAUAGCUCCGGCGGCAGCGCAAGCUGCAGCAAUAAUGCAGCAACAACAACACUAAGCACUCAAGGUGAUGAACAUGCGGAAGAGAUACGCAGCGAUGGUUCCGAUUCAGGGCUGGGCAGCGAGACAUCCACGCUCCAGACGACACUGGCCAGCCUGGGAGACACUAGCCACUUGACGCCCUGCGAUAAUAGUGCCACAAAUACGCCCACUGGUGGCAAAACGAAAACAAGCGCAAGUAAUAGCUGCAGCACCGACGACACUGCUUCCAAUUUAACAGUAACAGAUGGUGUGGCAGGCGCUUCCAGCGCAAUUGUGCCUGUUGCUGUCACUGUUGCAUUGCCGCCGCUAGCAGCGGUCGCGAAGCCGUUUCGUUCAAAUUUGAAACGUCGCCUCGAUGAGGAAGAGGCACUUGUCGACGCUGCGCAACAAACUCAGCUCGCAACCACUGGCGGCUCUCAAGUUAAAAAACCUAAGCGUUCCAUUAAUUUCGAAAACGUACAAGUUUACUAUUUUCCAAGACAACAAGGUUUCGGUUGUGUGCCCUCAGCGGGCGGUUGUACGCUGGGCAUGGGUGCACGCCAUAUUGGCUUUAAAACGCUAACACUAGCCGAACAUGCGACAGAGUUGCGGCGCGCGCAUCGCCUACAAUUACAGGAAAUCAACCCACGGGGCUCAUCCAGCGACGACAGUGAGGAGUCCGAGGAGGAUUACCUAAGUGAGGGCAGCGGCUCCGAUUUGGAUGCCGAGUCGAAUGGGUUUCUACAGCCAGUGUCACCGAAACAGCGACGCGCUCUGCUUAAAGCAGCUGGCGUACGCAAAAUUGACGCUGCCGAGAAGAUUGAAUGUCGCGACAUACGAAACUCGCGGGAGGUGUGCGGCUGCGCAUGUGUGGAGUUCUGUGAUCCGGAAACUUGUGCCUGCAGUCAAGCGGGAAUAAAGUGUCAGGUCGAUCGCGCCAUGUUUCCUUGCGGUUGUACUCGCGAUGCAUGCGGCAAUACAGUGGGCCGCGUCGAAUUUAAUCCCACGCGCGUACGCACACAUUUCAUACACACUAUUAUGCGACUGGAGAUGGAAAAUCGUCAACAGCAAAAUCCGCCACUCUACAGUACUGUCAGCAGCUACAGCUUGGCAACCGCCUGUGCCACAACUGCUACCGCUGUGGGUCCACCGCUCGCAAACACCCUACCGCCGACGCCAUCGUACGCCAAUAAUUUACCCGGCAGUUACUAUGCCAUGCAAACACAAUCAAAUUACAGCUCCGGUUAUGCUUCGCCCGCAUAUCCCAGCGAACCGGCAGCCAAUUACUAUCAGCAACAGAGCAGCAGCUCUACACACUACAGUGCUGUGAGCACAACUGAGCAGCAAAGCUGUCAACUAGACACUUUAGAUGCGGCGAAUCUAUUCACCGGUCCCGCUACUGCCACACCGGUGUACGGCGAAAUGGUGCCAGCCUAUAGCAGCGCAGUUGGCACGGCGGCAAGUACUGCCACUGUAAGCGCUUAUCACCAGAAUAACAACUAUUCGGCAGUGCAGCAAACGCAGGUCUCCACUUUCACCGCUUAUCAGCAAACAUCAAGCGCAGCUUAUCUACCACAGCACAGCCAGCAGAGCGGCACUACGACAGCUGCAGCUGCGACCACACACUCUACGCUGCCACCGCCGACCACAUACAGUUCAUGCGCCGUGCCCUCGCUUCCACCAUACGGCACUGCUACCACAACAGCAGCUGCGGCACAGUAUCAAGACACCAGCAGCUAUGCGCUUGUCGGCACCACAGCGCCCAGCUGCAUCAGCAUUGAUGACAGUGGUGGCCGUGAGCUCGUUGAAUGCGCUACAGAAGUUGACAUUGGAAAUGACGAUUGCGGCGCCACUAACACCAGCGAUAACAGCAGCGCUGCCAAAAUCACCACAAUCCAAAUCACUUCCUGCAGCAGCAGCAGCAACAGCAAUAGAACGCUUGCCGGUAAUGAUAGUAUCGGUGACAUCAGUGGCUUCGGCGACAACGGCACUGGCUCUGACAGCAGUUUCAUACAACUUAGCACACCUAUUUCCAGUGCAGCGCGGCUCUCACAAAUCAAUGAUUUACUACUGCAAAAUCGCCAUACAACGGCCACGCUUGUGGCUAUCUCGCAAACGUCUUGUUUGAGCGUUAGUGGUCGCACUAGUACAAGUACGCUCAUAAGCAGCCGCAGCGUUACUACCGAUUGUGAGGAGGAAGAACAAGAAGAUGAAACUGAGUAUGAACUUGAAGAAAAGGUGGCCGAUGAGGUUGCAACAAAAGACGAAAAAACGCUAAUCACAGAGUCACAAUGCUCAGGAGAUGAUGAAAAUGACGGCGAAAAGACAGCGUUGCAACCGGCAGCAGUCGCAGUCGCAGAAACUGAACCGACACCUGCUGCCAGCGAAAAUCUUGACAUCAAUGACGAUACAGUGGAGAAGCCAAGUGGUGGAUCAGCUGUCACUACGUGCGCAGGCAUUGAAACAGCAAAUGCCACGCCUAGCAGUGUUGUUGCAUUAGUCGCUGAUAGCUGCGCAGUUAGUGGUGUUAGCGCUGCUGCAAUCACAACUACUGUCACUGCCAAUACUGACACAAGCGCAGUGCAUUCGGCGUGCAAAUAAAUUGCGAAAAAGGAUGACUUUGUUACAACCAGGCACACACACAUUCAUCUUCACACGCCCGCUAUAAACAAACCAUAUACUUGUAGAAGUACUAAGCGUAAAACUGAAGUAAACGAAGGAAAAGCAGACAGAAAUGCAGAGAAUAAAGGUGAAAUAUAAAUAUAAAUAUAUAUAUUUAAUAUUAAAAAACGAAUCAAAAUAAAUACAAAACAAAACGAAUAUGUAUGCAUAAGCUGACGAGCAAGCAGCCGUAUGAAUGAAUGAAUUUUUUGUGGUAAAGCAGCGGCAGCGUAUUAGCAGCUAGCUCGCUCCAAUGAGUAAUGUUAAUUUCAUGUUUCUGCUUUGUUGCAUAACUUCCAUGAAAACUAAAAACUUAUGUAUAGAAUUUGUAUAAAAACACCUACACAUAUGCUUACACAAUGGAAAAUUGCAACAAAUAUUAAUUAACACUUUUUCUUUUUAAUAUUAACGCAUACAUACUUUAUAUAAUAGUGUUAAUCAAUGUAUAAUACAAGUUAAUAAUAUAUUCAUUUUAAACUAUGCCUAAAUAUGUAUACGCAUACUGCAUAAUAUGUAAUUGUCGUAUGUUCAAACUAAAAUGGGUAUAGUAUAAUUUCCAAAAUUUAUAGUUUUUCUUUUAAUUUUUCAUUCAUUUUCCUUUUUUAUUUAGUGUUUAUUUAAGUUUUACUUGUGUUAAUUUUAAAUUCGCUUAUAACUACUAAAGAUACAGCGACGGAAAUUAUACAUAUAAACAAAGCUUCUGAAAAUAAAGAUGGCAUUCAAAUAAAUUCGGUUUUGCAAAUUAUUGGAAUUGUAGAAAACACCAG
Molecule: unclassified non-coding RNA, 4885 nt
Filed under: Rhagoletis pomonella (apple maggot)
Lineage: Eukaryota; Metazoa; Arthropoda; Insecta; Diptera; Tephritidae
Description: uncharacterized LOC118740980, transcript variant X1
Source: RNAcentral